This is a small nuclear RNA of Cebus imitator (Panamanian white-faced capuchin), 104 nucleotides long. NCBI's taxonomy places the organism in Eukaryota, Metazoa, Chordata, Mammalia, Primates, Cebidae. The record is from Ensembl.
GUGCUCACUAUGGCAGCACAUAUACUAAAAUCAGAACGAUAAAGAGAUUAGCAUGGCCCCUGCACAAGGAUGACACACAAAUUCAUGAAGUGUUCUAUAUUUUU